RNAcentral lists this ribosomal RNA (495 nucleotides) under uncultured bacterium. RNAcentral describes it as "bacterial SSU rRNA". It matches the Rfam family "Bacterial small subunit ribosomal RNA", at positions 28 to 508 of the family's 1533-position model. The record is from RNAcentral.
GACGAACGCUGGCGGCGUGCCUAACACAUGCAAGUCGUACGGGAUUUGGGGGCAACUCCAAGUUCAGUGGCAGACGGGUGCGUAACACGUGAAGAACUUGUCCGGUGGCGGGGGAUAGCCGGCCCAACGGCCGGGUAAUACCGCAUACGCUCGCGUGACGGCAUCGUUGCGCGAGGAAAGCAGCCGCAAGGUUGCGCCGACGGAGAGCUUCGCGGCCUAUCAGCUAGUUGGCGGGGUAAUGGCCCACCAAGGCGACGACGGGUAGCUGGUCUGAGAGGAUGAUCAGCCACAUUGGGACUGAGACACGGCCCAGACUCCUACGGGAGGCAGCAGUGGGGAAUAUUGCGCAAUGGCCGCAAGGCUGACGCAGCGACGCCGCGUGUGGGAUGACGGUCUUCGGAUUGUAAACCACUGUCAGGGGGAACGAAUACCGGGCGACGAAUAGCCGACCCGGGGUGACGGUACCUCCAAAGGAAGCACCGGCUAACUCCGUGC